GGCUNNNUGGUAACAGGAAGCAGCUUGCUGCUUUGCUGACGAGUGGCGGACGGGUGAGUAAUGUCUGGGAAACUGNCCUGAUGGAGGGGGAUAACUACUGGAAACGGUAGCUAAUACCGCAUAACGUCUUCGGACCAAAGAGGGGGNACCUUCGGGCCUCUUGCCAUCGGAUGUGCCCAGAUGGGAUUAGCUAGUUGGUGGGGUAACGGCUCACCAAGGCGACGAUCCCUAGCUGGUCUGAGAGGAUGACCAGCCACACUGGAACUGAGACACGGUCCAGACUCCUACGGGAGGCAGNCAGUGGGGAAUAUUGCACAAUGGGCGCAAGCCUGAUGCAGCCAUGCCGCGUGUAUGAAGAAGGCCUUCGGUUGUAAAGUACUUUCAGCGGGGAGGAAGGGGAUGAGGUUAAUAACCUUGUCCAUUGACGUUACCCGCAGAAGAAGCACCGGCUAACUCCNGUGCCAGCAGCCGCGGUAAUACGGAGGGUGCAAGCGUUAAUCGGAAUUACUGGGCGUAAAGCGCACGCAGGCGGCGUGUCAAGUCGGAUGUGAAAUCCCCGGGCUCAACCCGGGAACUGCAUUCGAAACUGGCAUGCUAGAGUCUUGUAGAGGGGGGUAGAAUUCCAGGUGUAGCGGUGAAAUGCGUAGAGAUCUGGAGGAAUACCGGUGGCGAAGGCGGCCCCCUGGACAAAGACUGACGCUCAGGUGCGAAAGCGUGGGGAGCAAACAGAUUAGAUACCCUGGUAGUCCACGCCGUAAACGAUGUCGACUUGGAGGUUGUGCCCUUGAGGCGUGGCUUCCGGAGCUAACGCGUUAAGUCGACCGCCUGGGGAGUACGGCCGCAAGGUUAAAACUCAA
Molecule: ribosomal RNA, 857 nt
Filed under: Enterobacter hormaechei
Lineage: Bacteria; Pseudomonadati; Pseudomonadota; Gammaproteobacteria; Enterobacterales; Enterobacteriaceae
Description: bacterial SSU rRNA
Rfam family: Bacterial small subunit ribosomal RNA
Source: RNAcentral